CCUUAGAGUUUGAUCCUGGCUCAGAACGAACGCUGGCGGCAGGCUUAACACAUGCAAGUCGAACGCCCCUUUCGGGGGGAGUGGCAGACGGGUGAGUAACACGUGGGAACGUACCUCUUUGUUCGGAAUAACUCAUGGAAACGUGAGCUAAUACCGGAUACGCCCUUUUGGGGAAAGAUUUAUCGCAGAGAGAUCGGCCCGCGUCUGAUUAGCUAGUUGGUGAGGUAAUGGCUCACCAAGGCGACGAUCAGUAGCUGGUCUGAGAGGAUGAUCAGCCACACUGGGACUGAGACACGGCCCAGACUCCUACGGGAGGCAGCAGUGGGGAAUAUUGGACAAUGGGGGCAACCCUGAUCCAGCCAUGCCGCGUGAGUGAUGAAGGCCUUAGGGUUGUAAAGCUCUUUUAUCCGGGAAGAUAAUGACUGUACCGGAAGAAUAAGCCCCGGCUAACUUCGUGCCAGCAGCCGCGGUAAUACGAAGGGGGCUAGCGUUGUUCGGAAUCACUGGGCGUAAAGGGCGCGUAGGCGGACGAUUAAGUCAGGGGUGAAAUCCCGGGGCUCAACCUCGGAAUUGCCCUUGAUACUGGUUGUCUUGAGAUUGGAAGAGGUAAGUGGAAUUGCGAGUGUAGAGGUGAAAUUCGUAGAUAUUCGCAAGAACACCGGUGGCGAAGGCGACUUACUGGUCCAUAUCUGACGCUGAGGCGCGAAAGCGUGGGGAGCAAACAGGAUUAGAUACCCUGGUAGUCCACGCCGUAAACGAUGGAUGCCAGCUGUUGGGGAGCAUGCUCUUCAGUGGCGCAGUCAACACAUUAAGCAUCCCGCCUGGGGGAGUACGGGCCGCAAGAAUUAAACUCCAAAGGGAAUUGACCGGGGGCCCGCCCCAAGCGGUGGAGCAUGGUGGUUUAAAUUCGAAGCAACGCGCAAAAACCUUACCGCUCUUGACAUCCCGGGGUACCUGGAAAAAUUUCUGGUUCCCUUCGGGAACCCGGAAAACGGGGCCGCCUGG
Molecule: ribosomal RNA, 1005 nt
Filed under: uncultured bacterium
Lineage: Bacteria
Description: bacterial SSU rRNA
Rfam family: Bacterial small subunit ribosomal RNA
Source: RNAcentral